GAAAAAGUAAACUUUCAGCUGCAUGCAACAUAGACCAACAGAUAAAAAUCAUUCAAAUGCACCAGAAAAAUGAGAAACACAGCACAACUAUAAUUCAAACCUUAAAAUAAGAAAUAUAUUUCAAUAUUAGUAGUUUCCAUCCACCUUUGCUACAGCAAGAGAAGUGCGAACAUAUGAAUGCAUACUUCGACAUAUACCAGACAGAAUAAAAAUGCUCUUUGUGCUGGAUCAUGCACGUCAUUUAUGAGCAGAAUGCAGCACAGCAAGUGAUGUAGUAGUCAUGCUUACAAAAUACAUGUUCCAAAAAUACCUCAUAGAGUCAUGUCAAUGUUACUGGUAGUUAAUAGGGGCAAUUAGUUCUGAAGAUCAUGUGGUAAUCAAACAAGAAAGACAAUGUAUCUGUCAGCAUUGAGUGGCAAAGCAGUUGCGGUCAAUUUAAAUUAUACCUUGACAACAAAC
Molecule: unclassified non-coding RNA, 459 nt
Filed under: Hevea brasiliensis (rubber tree)
Lineage: Eukaryota; Viridiplantae; Streptophyta; Magnoliopsida; Malpighiales; Euphorbiaceae
Source: RNAcentral